This 232-nucleotide ribosomal RNA is filed under the name uncultured bacterium. RNAcentral's name for it is "partial 16S ribosomal RNA". It matches the Rfam family "Bacterial small subunit ribosomal RNA", at positions 100 to 334 of the family's 1533-position model. The record is from RNAcentral.
CGGGACGGGUGAGUAAUGUCUGGGAAACUGCCUGAUGGGAGGGGAUAACUACUGGAAACGGUAGCUAAUACCGCAUAACGUCGCAAGACCAAAGAGGGGGACCUUGGGCCUCUUGCCAUCGGAUGUGCCCAGAUGGGAUUAGCUAGUAGGUGGGGUAAAGGCUCACCUAGGCGACGAUCCCUAGCUGGUCUGAGAGGAUGACCAGCCACACUGGAACUGAGACACGGUCCAG